GACGAACGCUGGCGGCGUGCUUAACACAUGCAAGUCGAACGGAAAGGCCCUGCUUUUGUGGGGUGCUCGAGUGGCGAACGGGUGAGUAACACGUGAGUAACCUGCCCUUGACUUUGGGAUAACUUCAGGAAACUGGGGCUAAUACCGGAUAGGAGCCCCUGCUGCAUGUUGGGGGUUGGAAAGUUUCGGCGGUUGGGGAUGGACUCGCGGCUUAUCAGCUUGUUGGUGGGGUAGUGGCUUACCAAGGCUUUGACGGGUAGCCGGCCUGAGAGGGUGACCGGCCACAUUGGGACUGAGAUACGGCUCAGAAUCCUACGGGAGGCAGCAGUGGGGAAUAUUGCACAAUGGGCGGAAGCCUGAUGCAGCAACGCCGCGUGCGGGAUGACGGCCUUCGGGUUGUAAACCGCUUUCGCCUGUGACGAAGCGUGAGUGACGGUAAUGGGUAAAGAAGCACCGGCUAACUACGUG
RNAcentral lists this ribosomal RNA (468 nucleotides) under uncultured bacterium. RNAcentral describes it as "partial 16S ribosomal RNA". It matches the Rfam family "Bacterial small subunit ribosomal RNA", at positions 28 to 507 of the family's 1533-position model. The record is from RNAcentral.